GACGAACGCUGGCGGCGUGCUUAACACAUGCAAGUCGAACGGUAAGGCCCUGCUUUUGUGGUUUUCUCGAGUGUCGAACAGGUGAGUAUCACGUGUGUAUCCUGCCCUUUACUUUGGGAUAACUUCAGUAAACUGGGGCUAUUACCGGAUAUGAGCUCCUGCUGCAUGGUGGGUGUUGGAAAGUUUCGGCGGUUGGGCAUGGACUCGCGGCUUUUCAGCUUGUUGGUGGGGUAGUGGCUUACCAAGGCUUUGACGGGUAGCCGGCCUGGGAGGGUGACCGGCCCCAUUGGGACUGAGGUACGGCCCAGACUGAUACGGGAGGAAGGAGUGGAGAAUAUUGCAAGAAGGGCGGAAGCCUGAUGCAGGAACGCCGGGUGCGAGAUGACGGCCUUCGGGUUGUAAACCGCUUUCGCCUGUGAAGAAGAGUGAGUGACGGUAAUGGGUAAAGAAGCAACGGCUAACUACGUG
Molecule: ribosomal RNA, 468 nt
Filed under: uncultured bacterium
Lineage: Bacteria
Description: partial 16S ribosomal RNA
Rfam family: Bacterial small subunit ribosomal RNA
Source: RNAcentral